UGUGGACAGUGAGGUAGAGGGAGU
RNAcentral lists this microRNA (24 nucleotides) under Homo sapiens (human). Its description in RNAcentral is "hsa-miR-3138". Lineage: Eukaryota; Metazoa; Chordata; Mammalia; Primates; Hominidae. The record is from miRBase by way of RNAcentral.